GCCCUCGUAGCUCAGCAGGAUAGAGCACCGCUCUCCUAAAGCGGGUGUCGGCCGUUCGAAUCGGCUCGGGGGCACCA
RNAcentral lists this transfer RNA (77 nucleotides) under Coriobacteriia bacterium. Its description in RNAcentral is "tRNA-Arg". It matches the Rfam family "tRNA". Rfam says of the family: Transfer RNA (tRNA) molecules are approximately 80 nucleotides in length. The record is from RNAcentral. Lineage: Bacteria; Bacillati; Actinomycetota; Coriobacteriia.